CAGUCGCCGCGGUAAUACGAAGGGGGCUAGCGUUGCUCGGAAUUACUGGGCGUAAAGGGCGCGUAGGCGGAUGUUUAAGUCAGAGGUGAAAGCCCAGGGCUCAACCUUGGAACUGCCUUUGAUACUGGACAUCUUGAGUGUGGGAGAGGUGAGUGGAACUCCGAGUGUAGAGGUGAAAUUCGUAGAUAUUGGGAAGAACACCGGUGGCGAAGGCGGCUACCUGGUCUUUUACUGACGCUGAGGCGCGAAAGCGUGGGGAGCAAACAGGAUUAGAGACCCCUGUAGUCCCUGUCUCUUAUAC
RNAcentral lists this ribosomal RNA (301 nucleotides) under uncultured bacterium. RNAcentral's name for it is "partial 16S ribosomal RNA". It matches the Rfam family "Bacterial small subunit ribosomal RNA", at positions 509 to 807 of the family's 1533-position model. The record is from RNAcentral.